ACAACGUACAACUCUUAUCGAUAAGCCAUUGGAGGGCAAGUCUGGUGCCAGCAGCCGCGGUAAUUCCAGCUCCAAUAGCGUAUAUUAACGUUGUUGCAGUUAAAAAGCUCGUAGUUGAAGUGAGGGAGUGUGUAGUAGGACCGACUUGAUCGGAACUGCUGCAACCUCCCCCCUCCAAUCGGUGUAGUGGGGUAUUCACUUAUUCUACUACUCCUUUGGUCGUUUACUGUGAGAAAAUUAGAGUGUUCAAAGCGGGCGUUUGUUUGAAUAGAUUAGCAUGGAAUAAUGAUUGAAGGCUUUCGUGUUCGAUUUGAUUGGUUUGUUCAUGGAAGCAAGGUUAAAAGGAACAGUUGGGGGUAUUCAUAUUCACUAGUUAGAGGUGAAAUUCUCG
This 391-nucleotide ribosomal RNA is filed under the name Blastocystis sp. RNAcentral's name for it is "bacterial SSU rRNA". It matches the Rfam family "Eukaryotic small subunit ribosomal RNA", at positions 520 to 922 of the family's 1831-position model. The record is from RNAcentral. Lineage: Eukaryota; Bigyra; Opalinata; Blastocystidae.